CCCUUAGAUGUCCUGGGCCGCACGCGCGUUAAACUGAUGCAUUCAACGAGCUUAUAACCUUGGCCGAGAGGCCUGGGCAAUCUUGUUAACGUGCAUCGUGAUAGGGAUAGAUUAUUGAAAUUAUUAAUCUUGAACGAGGAAUUCCUAGUAAACGCAGAUCAUCAAUCUGCAUUGAUUACGUCCCUGCCCUUUGUACACACCGCCCGUCGCACCUACCGAUUGGAUGGUCCGGUGAAGCCUCGGGAUUGUGGUUCUUGCCGCUUUAUUGUGGCGUGACCGCGAGAACUUGUCUAAACCUUAUCAUCUAGAGGAAGGUGAAGUCGUAACA
Molecule: ribosomal RNA, 328 nt
Filed under: uncultured eukaryote
Lineage: Eukaryota
Description: partial 18S ribosomal RNA
Rfam family: Eukaryotic small subunit ribosomal RNA
Source: RNAcentral